This 322-nucleotide unclassified non-coding RNA is filed under the name Hevea brasiliensis (rubber tree). Lineage: Eukaryota; Viridiplantae; Streptophyta; Magnoliopsida; Malpighiales; Euphorbiaceae. The record is from RNAcentral.
GAGAAGAAGCUUUUGAUUGGGAAUUUUGAUCAGUUAGGCCAAUUUUAGUUUAGCCAGUCUAAUGGAUCGCAGCACUUUAGAGUGAAGGCUAAUUAUUCUGGAGAUCAAUACCGUCACGGUCACCGUCAGCGUGAGGACUACAAGGAUAAAAGCACCAGGAGCCACAGAAGAAAUGACGACAAUGAGGAUUACAGCCGUUCCAGGAACCAUAAAUUUGACAGGUCAUUUUAGGAAAAGUGUUUGUAUGCAUAAGCUUUUAGAUCUUUCCAUUUGUUAUGAUGGUUCUUUUGUGGGGUAGGGGGUGAGUCUAUUUUGAAUUGAU